This 322-nucleotide RNase P RNA is filed under the name chicken gut metagenome. RNAcentral's name for it is "Bacterial RNase P class A". It matches the Rfam family "Bacterial RNase P class A". Rfam says of the family: Ribonuclease P (RNase P) is a ubiquitous endoribonuclease, found in archaea, bacteria and eukarya as well as chloroplasts and mitochondria. Its best characterised activity is the generation of mature 5'-ends of tRNAs by cleaving the 5'-leader elements of precursor-tRNAs. Cellular RNase Ps are ribonucleoproteins. The record is from RNAcentral.
AUGGUCGCGGGCAGCUUCGCGCUGCGCGAGGAAAGUCCGGGCUUCACAGGGCAGGAUGCCGGAUAACGUCCGGUGGAGGCGACUCUAAGGACAGUGCAACAGAAAUAUACCGCCCGGCUGCGCCGGGUAAGGGUGGAAGGGCAGUGUAAGAGACUACCGCCUUUCUGGCAACAGAGAGGGCAUAUGUAAACCCCAUCCGAAGCAAGACCGAAACGAAGCGUAUGGCGGCCCGUCAGCUUCAGGUAGGUCGCUUGAGCCUGCCGGCAACGGCAGGCCUAGAUAGAUGACCAUUCACGACAUAACCCGGCUUAUCGUUUUGCUG